GUGGGGAAUUUUGGACAAUGGGCGCAAGCCUGAUCCAGCCAUUCCGCGUGCAGGAUGAAGGCCUUCGGGUUGUAAACUGCUUUUGUACGGAACGAAAAGGUUCUCUCUAAUACAGGGGGCUGAUGACGGUACCGUAAGAAUAAGCACCGGCUAACUACGUGCCAGCAGCCGCGGUAAUACGUAGGGUGCAAGCGUUAAUCGGAAUUACUGGGCGUAAAGCGUGCGCAGGCGGUGAUGUAAGACAGAUGUGAAAUCCCCGGGCUCAACCUGGGAACUGCAUUUGUGACUGCAUUGCUGGAGUGCGGCAGAGGGGGAUGGAAUUCCGCGUGUAGCAGUGAAAUGCGUAGAUAUGCGGAGGAACACCGAUGGCGAAGGCAAUCCCCUGGGCCUGCACUGACGCUCAUGCACGAAAGCGUGGGGAGCAAACAGGAUUAGAUACCCUUGUAGUCC
RNAcentral lists this ribosomal RNA (450 nucleotides) under uncultured bacterium. RNAcentral's name for it is "partial 16S ribosomal RNA". It matches the Rfam family "Bacterial small subunit ribosomal RNA", at positions 354 to 796 of the family's 1533-position model. The record is from RNAcentral.